RNAcentral lists this ribosomal RNA (253 nucleotides) under uncultured bacterium. RNAcentral's name for it is "partial 16S ribosomal RNA". It matches the Rfam family "Bacterial small subunit ribosomal RNA", at positions 524 to 776 of the family's 1533-position model. The record is from RNAcentral.
UACAGAGGGUGCAAGCGUUAAUCGGAAUUACUGGGCGUAAAGGGCUCGUAGGCGGCCAACUAAGUCAGACGUGAAAUCCCUCGGCUUAACCGGGGAACUGCAUCUGAUACUGGAUGGCUUGAGAUUGGGAGAGGGAUGCGGAAUUCCAGGUGUAGCGGUGAAAUGCGUAGAUAUCUGGAGGAACACCGGUGGCGAAGGCGGCAUCCUGGACCAACACUGACGCUGAGGAGCGAAAGCCAGGGGAGCAAACGGG